AGGACGCUUGCUUCACUGAUGUUGCUUAUCUCUUCGGAGCUGUGGAAAGAGAGAAAUGUGCGGGUCUUUCGUAACAUGAGCGUUCCCAUGGGGGUAAUUGUCGUUAGGACUAAAGACAAGGCAUCUCUGUGGAGUAUUGCAGGGGCGAAAUCUUUAAGUAAUGUAAUGACGCGAGAGUGA
This 180-nucleotide ribosomal RNA is filed under the name Triticum aestivum (bread wheat). Its description in RNAcentral is "partial small subunit ribosomal RNA". The record is from RNAcentral. Lineage: Eukaryota; Viridiplantae; Streptophyta; Magnoliopsida; Poales; Poaceae.